This 253-nucleotide ribosomal RNA is filed under the name uncultured bacterium. RNAcentral's name for it is "partial 16S ribosomal RNA". It matches the Rfam family "Bacterial small subunit ribosomal RNA", at positions 524 to 776 of the family's 1533-position model. The record is from RNAcentral.
UACGAGGGGGGCAAGCGUUGUUCGGAAUUACUGGGCGUAAAGCGCACGCAGGCGGUCUAUCAAGUCAGAGGUGAAAUCCCGGAGCUUAACUUCGGAACUGCCUUUGAUACUGGCAAUCUAGAGUCCGGAAGAGGUUAGUGGAAUUCCCAGUGUAGAGGUGAAAUUCGUAGAUAUUGGGAAGAACACCAGUGGCGAAGGCGGCUAACUGGUCCGGUACUGACGCUGAGGUGCGAAAGCGUGGGGAGCAAACAGG